UACAGAGGGGGCAAGCGUUGUUCGGAAUUACUGGGCGUAAAGGGCGCGUAGGCGGCCUGCUAAGUCGAACGUGAAAUCCCUGGGCUCAACCCAGGAACUGCGUCCGAUACUGGUUGGCUUGAAUCCGGGAGAGGGAUGUGGAAUUCCAGGUGUAGCGGUGAAAUGCGUAGAUAUCUGGAGGAACACCGGUGGCGAAGGCGACAUCCUGGACCGGUAUUGACGCUGAGGCGCGAAAGCCAGGGGAGCAAAGCGGG
RNAcentral lists this ribosomal RNA (254 nucleotides) under uncultured bacterium. RNAcentral's name for it is "partial 16S ribosomal RNA". It matches the Rfam family "Bacterial small subunit ribosomal RNA", at positions 524 to 777 of the family's 1533-position model. The record is from RNAcentral.